AUUUGAUGCUGAGGAUGGUGAUGAAGUUGACAGCAUCAAGCUUCAAAAGCUGGCUGCACAGGCCAAAUCUUUCCGCCCAGAUGAUGAUGAUGAUUUUGACUCGGAUGAUGAUUAUAGUGAUGAUGAGGAGAUGCAGUCUCCUUUAGAUGAUGUGGACCCUUUUAUUUACUUUGUAGAUACAAUCAAAGCUAUGCAAGGAUUAGAUCCAAUGAGGUUUCAGAGUCUUACCCAAUCAUUAGAGUUCCAAUAUCAAGCUCUUGCGCAUGGUGUUGCGCAGCAUGCUGAACAGCGGAGAGUAGAAAUUGAGAAGGAGAAGCUGGAAAGG
Molecule: unclassified non-coding RNA, 325 nt
Filed under: Hevea brasiliensis (rubber tree)
Lineage: Eukaryota; Viridiplantae; Streptophyta; Magnoliopsida; Malpighiales; Euphorbiaceae
Source: RNAcentral